AUACUUGCCUGGUAGGGGAGCCACCAUGAUCAGUCAGGUGGCGUUCCCAGGGCAAGGCUCAUCCCCUGCCCUUCAGUUGUGCUGAGCUUUACACUCUGUCUUUUUGCAGUUGGACCAGGUGACCAUUGUAGGACCCUUCCAAG
Molecule: small nuclear RNA, 143 nt
Organism: Corvus moneduloides (New Caledonian crow)
Lineage: Eukaryota; Metazoa; Chordata; Aves; Passeriformes; Corvidae
Gene: U1
Rfam family: U1 spliceosomal RNA
About the family: U1 is a small nuclear RNA (snRNA) component of the spliceosome (involved in pre-mRNA splicing).
Source: Ensembl